Molecule: long non-coding RNA, 2257 nt
Filed under: Homo sapiens (human)
Lineage: Eukaryota; Metazoa; Chordata; Mammalia; Primates; Hominidae
Description: HSALNT0123591
Source: RNAcentral
GGCAGGAGAGUCACAUCAUCAGGGGGCUCAGAGAUAUGGUCCAAUGUCACCAGUAGGCAGGGCUCAGGCAGAAGAAGACAGUCAUAUCAUAUAGGUGCUUCUUUAAGUAUAUGUCACAAUUUAAUAUGUGGGCAGAACCCAGGCUGCAGAGCCACAUCACCUGGUCCUGGGUCCAGAGAUAUUCACCAGUCCCCCUUAGAAAAGGAUCCAAGCAAGAGAGUUCCAUCACCUAGGUGCAGGUUCCACCCUUAUGUCACAAUGCUCGAUGUGGGCAGGGCCAAGCAGGAAGUCACAUCACCUAGGUGAUAGGCCCAGAGAUAUGUCACAAAGCCUUCCUUAAAGCAUGGCCCUGGCAAAAGAGUACCAUCACCUUUUUGCAUAGCCUAGCAAUAUGUCACUAUUCAAGUGGUAGGUCCCAAGAAGAGCCAUAUCACCUACAUGAUAGGCCCUCUGAUAUGUCAAAAUGUUCUCUUUUGGGCAUGGCCUGGCAAAAAAGUAUCAUCACCUGUGUGCCUGGCCUAGGAAUAUGUCACUAUUCUGCCCUGUGUGUAGGGUCUUUUCCAGAGAGGAGAGUUACAUCUUCUAAGUGAUGGACACAGAGAUAUGUCACGAUGAUGUCUGUGGGCAUGGUGCAGCUGCGUGCUGGAUCCAGUGAUGUCACAAUUCUUACUGAGAGUAGGGCCCAGGCAGAAGAGUUCUUUAACACUUCAAGGUUGGCCCAGGUAGAUAUCAAAAUCCCAUAUGUAGGCUGGAACCAGUCUGAAGAGUGAAAUCUCACAGGUGCUUGGCAAAGAUUUAUAUCACAUGAAAUUUAUAUCACAUGACUAUCACGAUGAAAUAAAAUUUUAGGGAUUAGAUUUACAAUACCACACAUGUUCUGUUUUCAUGUAGGACAGUUGCCUUCAUCCAUCUGUGAUGGUGAAAGUCCUUACUGUCAGGUGGGUGUGCAUAUGAGACUCACAAUUUUCUCCAUGUGCUAGGCCCUGUUCUGACACUCUCUAUACAACCCAAGGGUGUUAUAAAAUAUGUGUGUGUUAUAAUCUUCUGUGACCUUUUUACCAGAAGGAGACCCUUUACAUCACUCAUGUCCCUAAACCUAGUUAUGAGUCAAAAUUUCUCCUAUUGGCUGGGUCCACAUAUGAGUCAUUAUCAUGCCCGUUAGCUGUGCCUAGGUAUGUGUCACCAUCCCCUCUGUAGUUAUUAAACAGGCAGGACAACCACAUCACCUAAAUCCUAAGCCAGAAAUAUUCCAAUAUUCUCUUUGUAGGCAGGGCCCUAACAGAAAAGUCACAAAACUUGGGUGCUAGGCUCAGCUCUAUGGCAUAAUGCCUCUUGUGGAGAACAUCCAGGCAGGAAAGGAGAGUCGCAUCACCUAAGUGAUGGGCCUAGAGAUAUGUCACAACUCCUGUUAAAAGGGCCCAGGCAAGAGAGUCAUGUCAUUUGGAUGCAGUGCUUAGAAAUGCUACACUCUUCACUGGAAGCAGGGUUCAGGUAGGAGAGGAGAGUCACAUAACCUAGAUGAUGGGUCCAGAGAUAUGUGACGGUCCCUUCUGAGGACACUGUUAAGAUAUGAGAGUCAAAUCACCAAGGUUCUUGGCCCAGGUAUACGUCAAUAUGUCAUCUGUGGGCUAUAACAGGCAGGAUUAUUAAAUCACUCAGGAGGUGGGCACAGGUAUAUGUCACAAUAACACCUGUGGAAAUGUUCAGGGAUGAGAGUCACCAUCCUGCACAAGUCCUGGCUCCAGGUACAAGAGUCCUUAUUAGGCCUUUGAUCUGGUCUCUGGUAUAUGGCACAAUAUCACCUGUGAACAGAGAACAAGCAGGAAGGUCACAUCAUCUGCGCGGGUGCUGGUCCAGUGAGAUGUCACAAUCUUUCUGUGAGCAGGACCCUGGAAGAAGAGUCACAUCAUCUGGAUGCUGGUUUUAGUGAUAUAUCAAAAUUCCCCCUGUGGGCAGGUGUUAGUAAGGUGAGGACACUGACUUCACCUAGGCAAUUGGCCUAGAUCUGUGUCACAAUGGCCGCUAUGUGCAAAACCAAGAUAUGAAAGUGACCUCACCUUGGCACUGGGUUUAGCAAUAUGUCACAAUCUCCUCUGUGGUCAGGGCAAGGCAAGAGAGGAGAAAAAUCACCUUGGUGCUUAACAAAGCUUCCUGUUGGCACAACCCAAAGCGCAGAGUCAUAUCACCUGGGUGCAGUACCCAGUUAUGUGUCACAAUGCAUCAUAAGUGCAGGGCCAAGGCAGUAGAAGGGAGUCAC